CGGCGACCGGCGCACGGGUGAGUAACGCGUAUCCAACCUGCCCUUUACUAUGGGACAGCCCGUCGAAAGGCGGAUUAAUACCGUAUGUUGUCAUGUUGAUGCAUAUUUUCAUGACCAAAGGCUUCGGCCGGUAAAGGAUGGGGAUGCGUCUGAUUAGCUUGCCGGCGGGGUAACGGCCCACCGGGGCGACGAUCAGUAGGGGUUCUGAGAGGAAGGUCCCCCACAUUGGAACUGAGACACGGUCCAAACUCCUACGGAAGGCAGCAG
This 267-nucleotide ribosomal RNA is filed under the name uncultured bacterium. RNAcentral describes it as "partial 16S ribosomal RNA". It matches the Rfam family "Bacterial small subunit ribosomal RNA", at positions 89 to 354 of the family's 1533-position model. The record is from RNAcentral.